RNAcentral lists this transfer RNA (66 nucleotides) under Signoretia aureola. RNAcentral describes it as "tRNA-Trp". The record is from RNAcentral. Lineage: Eukaryota; Metazoa; Arthropoda; Insecta; Hemiptera; Cicadellidae.
AAGAUUUUAAGUUAAUUUUAAACUCGUAGCCUUCAAAGUUAUUAAUACUAUUCAAAGUAAAUCUUA